This 418-nucleotide ribosomal RNA is filed under the name uncultured bacterium. Its description in RNAcentral is "bacterial SSU rRNA". It matches the Rfam family "Bacterial small subunit ribosomal RNA", at positions 30 to 446 of the family's 1533-position model. The record is from RNAcentral.
AUUGAACGCUGGCGGCAUGCCUUACACAUGCAAGUCGAACGGCAGCACGGGAGCUUGCUCCUGGUGGCGAGUGGCGAACGGGUGAGUAAUACAUCGGAACGUACCCUGAAGUGGGGGAUAACGUAGCGAAAGUUACGCUAAUACCGCAUAUUCUGUGAGCAGGAAAGAGGGGGAUCGCAAGACCUCUUGCUUUAGGAGCGGCCGAUGUCGGAUUAGCUAGUUGGUGAGGUAAAGGCUCACCAAGGCGACGAUCCGUAGCGGGUCUGAGAGGAUGAUCCGCCACACUGGGACUGAGACACGGCCCAGACUCCUACGGGAGGCAGCAGUGGGGAAUUUUGGACAAUGGGCGCAAGCCUGAUCCAGCCAUGCCGCGUGAGUGAAGAAGGCCUUCGGGUUGUAAAGCUCUUCGUGGGAGAAU